Molecule: ribosomal RNA, 524 nt
Filed under: uncultured bacterium
Lineage: Bacteria
Description: partial 16S ribosomal RNA
Rfam family: Bacterial small subunit ribosomal RNA
Source: RNAcentral
GACGAACGCUGGCGGCGUGCCUAAUACAUGCAAGUCGAGCGCAGGAAAUCGACGGAACCCUUCGGGGGGAAGUCGAUGGAAUGAGCGGCGGACGGGUGAGAAACACGUAAAGAACCUGCCCUCAGGUCUGGGAUAACCACGAGAAAUCGGGGCUAAUACCGGAUGGGUCAUCGGACCGCAUGGUCCGAGGAUGAAAGGCGCUUCGGCGUCGCCUGGGGAUGGCUUUGCGGUGCAUUAGCUAGUUGGUGGGGUAAUGGCCCACCAAGGGGACGAUGCAUAGCCGACCUGAGAGGGUGAUCGGCCACACUGGGACUGAGACACGGCCCAGACUCCUACGGGAGGCAGCAGUAGGGAAUCUUCCACAAUGGACGAAAGUCUGAUGGAGCAACGCCGCGUGAACGAUGAAGGCCUUCGGGUCGUAAAGUUCUGUUGUAAGGGAAGAACAAGUGCCGCAGGCAAUGGCGGCACCUUGACGGUACCUUGCGAGAAAGCCACGGCUAACUACGUGCCAGCCGCCGCCGUAA